Molecule: long non-coding RNA, 2497 nt
Filed under: Betta splendens (Siamese fighting fish)
Lineage: Eukaryota; Metazoa; Chordata; Actinopteri; Anabantiformes; Osphronemidae
Description: lncRNA (ENSBSLG00000010691.1)
Source: RNAcentral
UAUGUACUAUUAACUCCAUUAAAAUACACUUAGAAUUACACUAAUUAUGUACUUCUAGGUAACUAAGUAUACUGGAUAACUAAACCAUUAGUUUACUUUAUACAGACUAUUAGUCUGUAUGUGUUCUGUAUGUGUAUAAUGUUCAGUAGUAAUGCAGGUAGGAAGACCCAGGACACGCUGGAGAGAACGCCUUGGGGUCCCACCGGAAGAGCUGGAGGAAGUGUCCAGGGAGAAGGAAGUCUGGAACUGUCUGCUCAGACUGCUGCCCCCGCGACCCAGCCCCAAAUAAGCGGAUGAAAAUGGAUGGAUUGAUGGAUAGUAAUGCAUUUAUAACACAUUAGAUAAUGUUUAUUUAAUAUAUGAAAUGCUUUCUCUUAUCUGAUGGGGUUUAACCUUUAGUGCUGUCUGGUGUUUUAUAGAUGGACUAAAGGAAGGAAAGAACCAAACCAAGUCAAUCUUUUUUUACACUUUUCGUCACAACACACACAACUAAAAACAUUAGUGACAUGGAGCUUUGAGAACCUUUCAAAUAAUGAACAACAUAUAUACAGUACAAUACACAAUAAUACAAACUAUCUGCAAACACGGUUACUAUGGUAUUUACAUUGCUUAGAGAACAUGAUCUUCAUGAAUCGCUUUGUUUGUCCCCACUGGUUCAUACUAAUGUUCACAUCACUAGAGAACAUGAUGCAGCAUUAUCUGAUAAACACCAACUAUAGUGUUUGCUACCACCUAAAAAGUGAUAUUUAUUACUUAAAGGUAAGAGGUUACAGUUAACCAAACCACAGAACAUUAACACCAUUAUAUAUACUAUCUUUUAAUUCAAAAUGAAACUUACUGAGUUGGAAACUUACUUCUGCUUUCCACUUUCGUUUAACAACAACAAAGUGCAUCAUGAUUGGUCAGGACAGGGCCUUAUAUAGAGCUGGUACUGUACGCAGGCAAAACAUAGCUUUGAAUGCCUUCAGACCCCUUGAAAACAAACCAAAAAAAGCAGGAAAAAAAAGAAAAAAAAAAAACCUGCCUACCCCCAGGUGGGGGUAGGCUACCCCCAUCUGAGGGUGGGCAGGUUGCCAAAUGUGACGGACAGAGACAGACAACAGGAUCCACAUACGACUCCCAUGAAACCCUUUUUAAUAACAGCUCCAAUGAUCAUUAUGACUCAGCUCAAUUAUCUCUUUGUAAGACCAUUCAAGACAUAUGCUUGUCUGUGCUCAACAAACACCCACCUCUCAAAAAAGAUGCAUGUGAAGUUAUCUGUGAUACGCAUGGCAAAACAUAUGUAAUAUUGUUCAGAAUCAAUUUGUGGCAUCCACGGGUUGUUUGGAACUUUUUUUUUGUUAAUGAUGAUGCCAACAUCCACCGUUUAAGAUACAUCACUCCAUUGGAUGAUGACCAGCAGCCACGAAGGACCGUUUGGAUACAUGAACAAAAUGAGAUUGAAAGUUCUUACCCUGACAAGGCUUUUCAGUUAAAUUGGCAGAAAAUAAACCCAACCACAAAGAAUGAUAUACUUAAUAAAUUACAGGAUCUCAGCGAUGAGUUUAAAAACAGAACAAAUCAAUAUGGAUGGGUUUUAAAUAUUUUCAGUGAUCAUGUAGAAAAAAUAACAGUGGAUAAGCCAGAGUUUAAUAAUGAGUCAUCAUCAAAAUCAUUGAUGGGGAAUAUACAUGUACAUGUAGAGCAAAAAUUAAUUGAAAAAACACAUAAAUUCCUUAAGGAGAACCCUGAGAGGAAUAUUAUACAUUUCAUAAUGUAUACAAAUAAGUUUCCAUGUUUAAAAAGACGCACAAAAGACAAUACUAACCCUUGUUUUAUUCAAAUUAUAAAAUCUGCCUUUGAAUAUAACAGUGAUAGAGGAGCAGGAAUUGAUGUUUUCUUCACAAAUAGCUGGGGUCCGCUCCACCACACAAAUUUUAAUUUUUUGACAUAUUCCAAACUAAUAAAUACUGGCAAUGUUUUUCAUGAAUACCACCGUAAACAAUACAAUAAAAGAUUUAAGCUGGAUCAAAAGUGUUUCAAAGAUAACACUGAAAUACAAAAAGUACUGGCUCACACAGAUAAACCGCACAGAAUGCAAUUUAUGGAUGAACUGAAAAGAGUUAAGAAUAAACUAACAACUAAGGAACUCACCAUUAUAGAACAUAUAGACUAUUUAGAGGAAGUGGUUUAUAACAAUGAUGCCAAUACAUCAAAAAUUUACAGGGAUAAAAUUUAUGACAUGUUUUUAAAUAUGGAGCUGAAAUAUUUAGAGCAGGAAAUUUUUGUUGUUGUUGAUAUAACAUCAGAUUUCAACAGUAUAAUUGUUAAAUGUUUACUAGAAGACCUUCCAUCCAUUUUGGGGAACAAUAGGUAUUUUAGGCUUCAUCAUGUCCAGCAGGAUGAUCCAGCGAAACAAAUAAUUGAAAUGAUUAAAAAACAAAGAACUAACCAUUGAAUAACUUGAAUGCUCUGUGUUGUCAACGCUGUUGCCAGAAUAAAACAGAUGAUUCCAUCA